This 68-nucleotide transfer RNA is filed under the name Aedes japonicus. RNAcentral's name for it is "tRNA-Phe". Lineage: Eukaryota; Metazoa; Arthropoda; Insecta; Diptera; Culicidae. The record is from RNAcentral. RNAcentral also lists the same sequence under 2 other names.
AUUUAAAUAGCUUAUAUUUAGAGUAUAACAUUGAAGAUGUUAGGGAAAUUAAUAAUAAUUUUUAAAUA